RNAcentral lists this ribosomal RNA (624 nucleotides) under uncultured Sphingomonas sp. Its description in RNAcentral is "bacterial SSU rRNA". It matches the Rfam family "Bacterial small subunit ribosomal RNA", at positions 42 to 712 of the family's 1533-position model. The record is from RNAcentral. Lineage: Bacteria; Pseudomonadati; Pseudomonadota; Alphaproteobacteria; Sphingomonadales; Sphingomonadaceae.
GCAUGCCUAACACAUGCAAGUCGAACGAGACCUUCGGGUCUAGUGGCGCACGGGUGCGUAACGCGUGGGAAUCUGCCCUUGGGUUCGGAAUAACAGUUAGAAAUGACUGCUAAUACCGGAUGAUGACUUCGGUCCAAAGAUUUAUCGCCCAAGGAUGAGCCCGCGUCGGAUUAGCUUGUUGGUGAGGUAAAAGCUCACCAAGGCGACGAUCCGUAGCUGGUCUGAGAGGAUGAUCAGCCACACUGGGACUGAGACACGGCCCAGACUCCUACGGGAGGCAGCAGUGGGGAAUAUUGGACAAUGGGCGAAAGCCUGAUCCAGCAAUGCCGCGUGAGUGAUGAAGGCCUUAGGGUUGUAAAGCUCUUUUACCCGGGAUGAUAAUGACAGUACCGGGAGAAUAAGCCCCGGCUAACUCCGUGCCAGCAGCCGCGGUAAUACGGAGGGGGCUAGCGUUGUUCGNAAUUACUGGGCGUAAAGCGCACGUAGGCGGCUUUGUAAGUUAGAGGUGAAAGCCCAGGGCUCANCCCUGGAAUUGCCUUUAANACUGCAUCGCUUGAACAUCGGAGAGGUAAGUGNAAUUCCNAGUGUAGAGGUGAAAUUCGUANAUAUUCGGAAGAACACCAG